This 253-nucleotide ribosomal RNA is filed under the name uncultured bacterium. RNAcentral's name for it is "partial 16S ribosomal RNA". It matches the Rfam family "Bacterial small subunit ribosomal RNA", at positions 524 to 776 of the family's 1533-position model. The record is from RNAcentral.
UACGUAGGGCGCAAGCGUUGUCCGGAAUUAUUGGGCGUAAAGAGCUCGUAGGCGGUUUGUCGCGUCUGCUGUGAAAACCUAAGGCUCAACCUUGGGCUUGCAGUGGGUACGGGCAGACUAGAGUGCGGUAGGGGUGACUGGAAUUCCUGGUGUAGCAGUGAAAUGCGUAGAGAUCAUGAGGAAGACCAGUGGCGAAGGCGGGUCUCUGGACAGUUCCUGACACUGAGACACGAAGGCCAGGGGAGCAAACGGG